Columba livia (rock pigeon) is the source of this 4077-nucleotide long non-coding RNA. RefSeq lists it as uncharacterized. NCBI's taxonomy places the organism in Eukaryota, Metazoa, Chordata, Aves, Columbiformes, Columbidae. The transcript has 2 exons. The record is from RefSeq and is a predicted model, not a curated record.
UCAUUUUCCAGAAUCAGUUUCCAGAUAGUUUGGAAACACUUGAUCUGUCUGUAUUGAGUGACUUCAGGCUUUUAUUUUUGCGAUCCUUUGGGGAUAGCCACAAUGCUGGAUUUCAACUUCAUUGCAUAAUUGAGAUAGUUUAGUCUGCAAAUGAAGCAAGAAAAUAGCAUGUAUUACAUUUGAUUUGCAUUUUUACCCCUUAGCUUGUGCUCUUUUGUAGUUCUCCUUUGUAAGGAGAUUUUGUUGUUGUUGGGCUUUUUUUUGUUGUUUAAAGACUGUAUCAUAGUCUUGCUCUUGCCUUGCUCAUGUUGAUGCCCCUGAAAUUUUCUGAAAACUGUUCCAAAAUCUUUGCUAGUAUGACUUUGACUUUAAUGGCACUAAGCCAUGGAUAAUUGGCUCAGUUUCCCAAAAUUCCACUGCCUGUUGUUAAGAUAAACAUUUCUAGGUUCCCAAGAACACAGAUGCAUGUAUAUGGUAAUACACUGGGUAUACAGAGCAACCUUUAAACAGCAUAUUCUUGUUUUCCUAUUUCAUUUUUGAUGUUUAAACACAAACUUCAUAAGCAGAAAAAUGACUUGACAGAAUAAUUGUGCCAGUUAUUAAACUACAGGAUAGCAUUUUGAGAAGGGCUAUGAGACUUCUCUCUUGUUGUAGCCAUUAACUUCUAUGGAAGCAGAAGGGAAGCAGUCCUGUGUUGGAAUGGUGUGUGUUGGGAUGUGACCUUGUUAGUCAGCAGUUCGAGUCUCUGUUACUGGAAGUCCAUGUGACCAAGGCUUUGGUAUAAGGCCCAGAAUUGCUGCUUGUUUAGGAAUUUCUAGUCUUUUUAUGUUGCUCCUCAGCACUGGUACCUCAAGUGACUUGUAAGGCCCAGAUAUCCAUAAGAGUUGGUUUGACUUUCUCUUUGCCCCCAGUCCAAAGCUUUAGAGAGAGUCUGUGAUUAUAGAGCUUGUGACAGAGCUGGGUUCAGUUCACUCAUGUCCUAUCAAAUGUACUAGUGUAUGGGUGAAAGCAUUUUUCCCAUACAUACCUACUUAAACACGGAAAAUAAAAUAGAUAUGAGGCUCAGGGAUGUUAAAAGACAGUUAAGAAACUGAGGAAUAGGUUCUGAGGAACUCUGUGCAUGUUUAGGGUUGUAAGACAACCUUGAAGAGUGAGGGACAUUCUCGCUCGAUUAUGCCGGUUGCUGCAGCACAGGGGAGGCUUGCUACCAGGGAUGCUGUGAGCCAGAAGACAUCUUCUCAGCAUCUUACUCAGAGCAGGAAUUGGUGACCUGACUGUCCUUGGAGGUCAGCUUCCUAAAAGUCAUCUUUUAAAUUGCUUCUAGCAGCAAUAGCGAACUUUCAGUUCUUACUAUCUGCAAAAAAAUGGGAUGUUUCCUCAACAGAUUGGCUUUUGAUUUGUUUGGGUGUGUGUUAAUAUUUGUGUGUGUGUGUUUCAUUUUGGGGUUUUUGUGUGUGUGGUUUGUGGAUUUCUUUUUGUUUGUUUGUUUUUGUGUUUUUCUUUCUUCAUCAUCUCUUUAUUUGAUCAUUCAACUUGAUCCAAAACAAUAAACUGACAGUAAGUGGAUCAGGACACAGCAUGUGUGGGGUGUGUUUUUUUGGGGGGAUGGUUGUGUUUGGUUUUGUUUGUUUGUUCUAGGGCAGUUUGCGAGAAAUUUUUUUUCCUUCUGUCAGCUGGUUCCUUUCACCCCUACUCUCACUGUCUCUGCAAUAAGAAAUAGUAAAGAAAACCAGUGGUCGUAGUUCUGUUUGAUGAUAUUUUGUGUAAAUGGUUUCAGAAGGACAGCUAUUAAAAAUUGAAGUAAUGAUACUUCUCCAAUGCUGUAAAACAGCAUUUUUAAAAAUCUAAAUUAUUCCAACUCUAUGUAUACUCUUCAAGGCUUUGUGUAGAGGGUGAAAAUUCAAAAAAUCCUCCUGUAAUAAGAGCUAAACAUUAACAAUAUUAAUGCAAAGAAAGAUUCAAAUUCCUUCCUCUGGUUUUAAAUCGUGAUAAACACCUAGUUUGAGUCAGUGUGGUCUUUGUUUAGGGCUACUUUGACUAAAACUUUUGGCCCUAAUUUGCUGGCAGUUAGCUUAAUUGUAUUUUUGUUUAAACAGUAGUAGUGUUGGGGGGAACCACCAUUCCAGCAUGGUCUUUCAGCUGUUUUCACUGCUUUCCCUUGCUAUUUAGUAUUGUCCUGAGGAAGAAGGUAUGGCUUUGCUGUCUGAUCAGGGAUUUGGCUUGGAAUGGUAACAUAUUUUAAUCUGAAUAUCUUUACCUACUGCAUACUAAUCAUAGGCCCCGGCACUGUUCACUAGGGUGGCUGUUUUGCUUGCUUUGUUUUCCCCUUUACCUAGCAGCUGUUUCAUGUGUGUCUGAUGCCGUUUGUGCCUCUCUGUUCUGCUUCUAGUCAAGAGCUCUUGCUGGUUUUUCUGUAGAUAGGAGAUGACCUGAGGACUCAAGAGGAGACACAGUGCUGUUACCUCCUCUGCUGAUUUUCAGAGAAAUUGUGGUCAUCCCAUAGCUUUUCCCAACUAGUGGAAAAGCAAUACCAAGUACUUAACUGUCUUUUGAAAGUCUUUGAGGCUUAUGGAGAAAUAAAGAAGUGGGGAGUUUCAUGUUCUUGUGGUGUGUAACCAAACAACUCUUUGCAGGUUUCUUUCAUCACCGUUUCUAUACAUACUAUUUGGGGACAUGCUUUGCUGCCCGUACAACAGUUUCCCCCAUGCCUGAAUUGUUUAACAAAUCUUUGAUACUUGCAUUUGUUUUUAGUGGUAUGAGAAGAUAUCCUGGAAGGCAGCAUAUGUGUUGAUGUACUGAAGUUGACAUUUGCGUUGUUAAGCUUGUGUAUUGGCUGCGUAGGAGGCAGGAGUUCAUACAUGGCAAAUACAACAGCAACCUAAUCUCAAAUUAUUUUUGUUUUUGUUUAAGUUAUUAGAUCCUUUCCUUCUCUUCAGUAAGUAUUGAACCAUGCCCCCCGGACCCAUCUUAUAUUGAUCUACUUUAGUGAGCACCUUGCACAUGCAGGGGUGUGAACAGAAAGUACGUAUUUGAGGUAUUUAUAGUUUGCAUUGUGGUACCUCUGAGCUUUGUUACCUGAUGAAUCCCUUAUUUGACUGCUCACACACUUCCCAUACACUCUGUACUAGCUGUGAUGGUCAAACAGCUUUUCCUUGCCAAGACAAAUACACAGCAUGUCUAGCUCAGAUCUCCUAGCCAGUAGUGUGAUGCAUGGCAGGAAGGAGAAUGCACUGAUUUUUAACUGUGUUCAGGUUUAUUUGUUGGGGGGGGGGGGGGCGGGUAGAGGGGCAGGGAGAGGUGGAACAGGCAUGGAGGGCAAGUUUGAUGGCCUACAUUAAAUAAAAGGAAAGAGAGCUGUAAAAAUCUCCCAGUGUAAUGCAAGCCUUACAGAAGGAAGAGCUAUUUAUAGGAUACUGCAAUAUUUGCCUCAAGGAACUUUAGAGCAGAGAGGGCAGCGUUACACAAAGACGGGUGAGAGCACACUUGUGCGCUCACAGCUGGGAAGGUCAUAGCUGGGGCUUGUCUUACAGUGAGAUUCCACCCUGCCUUGGCCUGACGGGAGUAGAGACUGAUGGCUCCUUUUGAAGGCCAAAUCCUAGUGGCAGAAAAGCCCCUCAUUCGGGAGGCAUAUACUGAGAAGAUCCUUCAUAGCAUGUGACAUAACUACUGCGUAUUGGUACUUCUCUGAAAAGAUUGCAUCUGGCCAGGCCAAGGAGUUCCUAAUCACAUUAUGAAGAAAAGAAAAAAGAGGAGGAAAAAAAAAAGUUGGCAUGGAAUAUAGUUUAAAUGUAAUAAAAGGCUUGAGUAAAAGGGUCUGUGAUGUUGUGGUAGCAGACAGCUACAAAAGUGGUUAAGAAAGUGAGGCAGUGUUUCCUCCAAGGUAGUCUGGGGAAGUUGUUUGAUUAAAAAGUUCUUAAAUGAAUUUAAAACUUUGGAUAAGGAUGUAGUUUAGAGUUGUCCAAGAUACUUGUCUCUUUAAUUUGCUGUAAAAAAAGUGGAACUCUUCUAACAUGUGGCAUACCAUAGUUGUUUUUAUGUAAAGUGUUUGAAGGCAAAUAAACUGCUUGUCACACUCUG